Long non-coding RNA from Mustela erminea (ermine), 1938 nucleotides. RefSeq lists it as uncharacterized. The record is from RefSeq and is a predicted model, not a curated record. The transcript is spliced from 3 exons. NCBI's taxonomy places the organism in Eukaryota, Metazoa, Chordata, Mammalia, Carnivora, Mustelidae.
UGUUUUUAUAUGCCUCUUCUAAGUCAGCAGAAUAUGGUGUUUGGGAGCUUUGAGAAGAUUCGGACACUGAAAAGUGAACAGAAAUGAGGACCCUGAGAUCAUGACCUGAGCCAAAGGCAGAGGCUUAACCCACUGAGCCACCCAGGCACUCGGAAGGGCAGUCCUAAUCCCCGGGGAUGACUCACCAUCAGAGACUCGCCUCUGUGUGGUGAACCUUAGGUAACAACAACGCAAAGUCGGCAGAGACCGAGGGAGGCCUCAGAGUUUACUCAGAACAGCAUUAACCUGUAGGCUCUCCAUCUAGUCAACACACGCAAGAGACUAUGGGAACUCCCUUGUCCGUACUCCGCUAAAAUGACAGCAAUUCAUACACAAGAUUAUUUUGUUGUGAGGAGAGAAUAACAUCAACGGCGCUAACAAUCCUAAAACAGGAUUCAGUGUUAUGAAAACUGUGAUGUGACCCUGUCCUUUUCACGAAUGAUCCAGAAAAUGUCAACACUCCCUAGAAUGAAGGCCUGCCCACACAAUCCAAUGAGGUAGUUUUGGAAUGUUGGUGAGGUCAGGAGCUGACCACCAAGAAAGAAUUCUUGAUUCAUCUUAGGUGCAAAACGGUGAUUUUCUUAAACCCCGGAGACAGGACCCAUGGGCAGAAAGAGGUGCACUGGGGUUGUCAGAGGUGGCUGAUUAUUUACCUUCAAGUUGGGAGGGGGUUAGGGACAGAACAAACCUCCCAGGUAGUCUGGAAGCAAGGUUUCCAGGAUCCGGAGGGGGCCAGCUAUUGUAAGGAAAAGGUCAUUUAUUACCGUUUAGUAAAAACUCCAUCAUGAGACUCUUGAGAUGUGUAUCGGUGGGUCAUAUGCUUGGGGGAGGGCUGCCAACAGGUAUCUUGGAGGGGGCAGAGAUAAACGGAGCUUCCAAAGGAAUUUCUGUAUGUUUAAAGUAGACUCACAGGAUCCCGAGGGCAGAGGGGGCGGGUUAAGAUUGCCUUUUGCCCUCAGCAAAGAGUCAACAUCAAGGCAGCUGAGUUCCCAGAGGAAGGUCGCUCUGCCUGUUUCAAGGACUUGUCAGUGCGCUCUAAGUAGUAAGAAACUUUAAUAAUUUUUCUUCUGCCUUUGUUUUUCACAUUACCAACCCACAGGAAUAGGUUGUUUGUGUGGGGGGUAUUCCGUGGUCUUCCACUGCGCCAGGUGCAAAGCGGGAACUCAACAGUGACCAUGAAAUGAGUGACCAGACGACUCAUUACGAGACAGAGAGAGAGAGAGAGAGAGAGAGAGAGAAGGCGCGGCCUUCAGGAAACACCCACUCGAGAGAAAGGUUUAGUCUAAGCCAACACACAAUUACUUUCAUUUCAUCACUGUCUCUUUUUGUAUAUACUCGUAAGCAGGAGAGAAAAAAUACACCAACAAAAAAGGUUCCCAACGUUUGUCAUUUUAUGAAAAAAUCUGCCUACAGAUCUCGUGAAGCAAGCUGAGUUUCUUCUGGGAGACUAACACAGCGGGGACCCUUCUCUUCCACCUGCCCUUUAAGGAGGCUGGUGUAUAAACUACGGCCCUGGGUAAUGAGACAAGAUUUUAAAGCACUUAAAGAAAACACAAACAUCCUACUGUGCGAGGGUGACACGCGAUGCAACAUACACACGGCUCUGACCUCAGGGGAGCUGCCGGCGCACAGCGCUGCAGAGAGGUGACCUGAUCAGCAUUUGGGGUAAACAGUCUCAGGACUUAGAACUUCCUUUAUCCAUCGUCCCUGUCUGCACUCGACCAACUCUGUUUACUCUUCGCGCAGGAGGCAAUUCAUGACAAGGCUCUUGACGACAAACAAGCUUUUUGGUUUGGGCUCAGCUUUACUAUUUCGUAAACUUACUUACAAAAACCCAUGUUGGGGGGGGCACCUGGGUGACUCACGGGUUAAGCCUCUGCCUUUGGCUCGGGUCAUGAU